Panthera uncia (snow leopard) is the source of this 1170-nucleotide long non-coding RNA. RefSeq lists it as uncharacterized. The transcript has 4 exons. NCBI's taxonomy places the organism in Eukaryota, Metazoa, Chordata, Mammalia, Carnivora, Felidae. The record is from RefSeq and is a predicted model, not a curated record.
AGACUUUCAGAAAAGCUCUUAAAGGUCAUCCAGUCUAACCAUUCAUCUGACCCCCUAAUCCCCUCCACAAUAUUAAUACUAACUCUUCCAGGUUGGAGGAACUUCCGUUCACGUUACCUCAACAAAUAGAGAUUUUACUCUAAAAAAGCACAUGUGCCUAGGAACGAAGUCAUAGCUAACAAUCUGGCCACAAAAAGAGCAGAAACUCUGCAGAGCUAGAUCUCACAGCAGAAAAACAGAACGGAAAAGUAUUUGGAAUCCAGAACAGCACUAGCUAAGGACUACAACAGCGCUGACCCUAAAAACCGGUCAGAAGAACGAAGUCCUCCCAGUUUUGUACCCUGGGAUCCCGGGAUGCGGCCACAGCAAGGAGAGCUACGUUCCGAGGCAUCCUGACAGGGAAGCUUGUACGUGGAAAAGGGGUGAAAUCUAGUGAAAAUCAACAGGGAGGACACGCUCUCGGGAGAAAAGCAAGUUACAAAAGGGCAACAACCGAAGGCUUGUGGUGCAAGGGAGCCCUAGGGAUCACUGCCUGCCGAGCUGGAAGCAGACACACAGAGGAAGAGAGAAACAACGGUGCAUUUUGCUUUUUUUGAAUAUUUCGACAGCACACGAUUCUUCCAGAAGUGAUGGCAAAAAAUAAUUGAAUGUCGGUCAUGCUUUUGUCCACCGCUUUGCAUUUCUCUGCUGGUGGACGUGCUGGUGAUUGGCAGACUGUUGGAGGGUCGUGUCUGGUGGACGUGCUGGUGAAGGACAGACUGUUGGGGUGUCGCGUCUGGUCGUACAGUCGCCGGGCCUUCUGCAUCGCCUUCGCUGACCCCGGUGUUGCUGCCUGGCCUCUAGCUCAGCCCUAACUUAUCCACAGAUGAGUCAAAAGGAUGAGGACGGAAGGAAAUGAAAGCUGAGUUACCUCCUUUGGGCUUGGCAUAAUCGGAAAUCAGAAAAAGAGGAGGAGUCACAAUCCUGUGUGUGGACCAACAUUUCCAAGGAUUGCCAUGCCCCCGAGGAGGUGAUAUGGUAAGGUGGGGCGCAGAGGAAACAGAACAUGCACUGAGAGGUGAGGAAAGUGUGGAUGUGAAUGGAAAAGAGGGAAGGUGUAAGGAUGGGACAGAACCGUGCAAUGGGGGAAGGUGUUGUGUUCCUAGAGGAAAAUGCCAGAAGCUGGCAAUG